RNAcentral lists this ribosomal RNA (478 nucleotides) under uncultured bacterium. RNAcentral's name for it is "partial 16S ribosomal RNA". It matches the Rfam family "Bacterial small subunit ribosomal RNA", at positions 28 to 507 of the family's 1533-position model. The record is from RNAcentral.
GAUGAACGCUGGCGGCGUGCUUAACACAUGCAAGUCGAACGAGAAGUGAAGACGGAAACCUUCGGGCGGAAGGCUUUAUUUCGAGUGGCGGACGGGUGAGUAACGCGUGGGUAACCUGCCUCAUACAGGGGGAUAACAGUUGGAAACGACUGUUAAUACCGCAUAAGACCACAGCACCGCAUGGUGCGGGGGUAAAAACUCCGGUGGUAUGAGAUGGACCCGCGUUCGAUUAGCCAGUUGGCGGGGUAACGGCCCACCAAAGCGACGAUCGAUAGCCGAUCUGAGAGGAUGACCGGCCACAUUGGGACUGAGACACGGACCAAACUCCUACGGGAGGCAGCAGUGGGGAAUAUUGCACAAUGGGGGAAACCCUGAUGCAGCGACGCCGCGUGAGUGAAGAAGUAUUUCGGUAUGUAAAGCUCUAUCAGCAGGGAAGAAAAUGACGGUACCUGAGUAAGAAGCCCCGGCUAACUACGUG